GUGCCAGCAGCCGCGGUAAUACGUAGGGCGCAAGCGUUGUCCGGAAUUAUUGGGCGUAAAGAGCUCGUAGGCGGUUUGUCGCGUCUGCUGUGAAAGCCCGGGGCUUAACCCCGUGGUGUGCAGUGGGUACGGGCAGACUAGAGUGCAGUAGGGGAGACUGGAAUUCUGGUUGUACCGGUGACAUGCCCAGAUAUCCAGGAGGAACACCGAUGGCGAAGGCAGGUCUCUGGGCUGUUACUGACGCUGAGGAGCGAAAGCAUGGGAGGCGACCAGGAUUAGAUACCCUGGUAGUCC
RNAcentral lists this ribosomal RNA (294 nucleotides) under uncultured microorganism. RNAcentral describes it as "partial 16S ribosomal RNA". It matches the Rfam family "Bacterial small subunit ribosomal RNA", at positions 505 to 796 of the family's 1533-position model. The record is from RNAcentral.